RNAcentral lists this non-coding RNA (28 nucleotides) under Rattus norvegicus (Norway rat). The record is from RNAcentral. Lineage: Eukaryota; Metazoa; Chordata; Mammalia; Rodentia; Muridae.
CCCCACCUCCUAUCGAGGAUGCUUUAAC